Molecule: ribosomal RNA, 1432 nt
Filed under: Plantibacter sp.
Lineage: Bacteria; Bacillati; Actinomycetota; Actinomycetes; Micrococcales; Microbacteriaceae
Description: bacterial SSU rRNA
Rfam family: Bacterial small subunit ribosomal RNA
Source: RNAcentral
UAACACAUGCAAGUCGAACGAUGAAGCCCAGCUUGCUGGGUGGAUUAGUGGCGAACGGGUGAGUAACACGUGAGUAACCUGCCCUUGACUCUGGGAUAAGCGUUGGAAACGACGUCUAAUACCGGAUACGAGCUUCCACCGCAUGGUGAGUUGCUGGAAAGAAUUUUGGUCAAGGAUGGACUCGCGGCCUAUCAGCUUGUUGGUGAGGUAACGGCUCACCAAGGCGACGACGGGUAGCCGGCCUGAGAGGGUGACCGGCCACACUGGGACUGAGACACGGCCCAGACUCCUACGGGAGGCAGCAGUGGGGAAUAUUGCACAAUGGGCGAAAGCCUGAUGCAGCAACGCCGCGUGAGGGACGACGGCCUUCGGGUUGUAAACCUCUUUUAGCAGGGAAGAAGCGAAAGUGACGGUACCUGCAGAAAAAGCACCGGCUAACUACGUGCCAGCAGCCGCGGUAAUACGUAGGGUGCAAGCGUUGUCCGGAAUUAUUGGGCGUAAAGAGCUCGUAGGCGGUUUGUCGCGUCUGCUGUGAAAUCCCGAGGCUCAACCUCGGGUCUGCAGUGGGUACGGGCAGACUAGAGUGCGGUAGGGGAGAUUGGAAUUCCUGGUGUAGCGGUGGAAUGCGCAGAUAUCAGGAGGAACACCGAUGGCGAAGGCAGAUCUCUGGGCCGCUACUGACGCUGAGGAGCGAAAGGGUGGGGAGCAAACAGGCUUAGAUACCCUGGUAGUCCACCCCGUAAACGUUGGGCGCUAGAUGUGGGGACCAUUCCACGGUUUCCGUGUCGUAGCUAACGCAUUAAGCGCCCCGCCUGGGGGAGUACGGCCGCAAGGCUAAAACUCAAAGGAAUUGACGGGGGGCCCGCACAAGCGGCGGAGCAUGCGGAUUAAUUCGAUGCAACGCGAAGAACCUUACCAAGGCUUGACAUAUACGAGAACGGGCCAGAAAUGGUCAACUCUUUGGACACUCGUAAACAGGUGGUGCAUGGUUGUCGUCAGCUCGUGUCGUGAGAUGUUGGGUUAAGUCCCGCAACGAGCGCAACCCUCGUUCUAUGUUGCCAGCACGUAAUGGUGGGAACUCAUGGGAUACUGCCGGGGUCAACUCGGAGGAAGGUGGGGACGACGUCAAAUCAUCAUGCCCCUUAUGUCUUGGGCUUCACGCAUGCUACAAUGGCCAGUACAAAGGGCUGCAAUACCGUAAGGUGGAGCGAAUCCCAAAAAGCUGGUCCCAGUUCGGAUUGAGGUCUGCAACUCGACCUCAUGAAGUCGGAGUCGCUAGUAAUCGCAGAUCAGCAACGCUGCGGUGAAUACGUUCCCGGGCCUUGUACACACCGCCCGUCAAGUCAUGAAAGUCGGUAACACCCGAAGCCAGUGGCCUAACCGCAAGGAUGGAGCUGUCUAAGGUGGGAUCGGUAAUUAGGACUAAGUCGUA